Dermatophagoides pteronyssinus (European house dust mite) is the source of this 73-nucleotide non-coding RNA. Lineage: Eukaryota; Metazoa; Arthropoda; Arachnida; Sarcoptiformes; Pyroglyphidae. The record is from the annotation of a RefSeq genome assembly.
UCCACUGUAGUCUAGUUGGUUAGGAUAUGUGGUUUUCACCCACACGACCCGGGUUCAAAUCCCGGCAGUGGAA